Molecule: long non-coding RNA, 274 nt
Filed under: Pan troglodytes (chimpanzee)
Lineage: Eukaryota; Metazoa; Chordata; Mammalia; Primates; Hominidae
Description: long non-coding RNA NONPTRT015055
Source: RNAcentral
CUAACGGUUCCCAAACAGCCCCCGAAAACGCUACGUGAGUUGGGCCCUGGGCCAGAGGCAGAAAACGGACGGAAGAAAAGGAGAUGGGUCUCACUCUGUCACCCAGACUGGAGUGCAGUGAGUGGUGCGAUCAUAGCUCACUGCAGCCUGAAACUCCUGGGCUCAAGUGAUCCUCUCGCCUCAGCCUCCUGAGUAGCUGGAGCUACAGGUGUGAGCUACCCAGCAUGGCUCAUUUGAGAUUUCUGAGUAGAGAAGUAACAUGAUUAAACUUGGG